GACGAACGCUGGCGGCGUGCCUAAUACAUGCAAGUCGAGCGGACGGAUGGGAGCUUGCUCCCAGACCGUCAGCGGCGGACGGGUGAGUAACACGUGGGCAACCUGCCUGUAAGACUGGGAUAACUCCGGGAAACCGGGGCUAAUACCGGAUAACUCUUUCCCUCACAUGAGGGAAAGCUGAAAGAUGGCAUCUCGCUAUCACUUACAGAUGGGCCCGCGGGGCAUUAGCUAGUUGGUGAGGUAACGGCUCACCAAGGCGACGAGGCGUAGCCGACCUGAGAGGGUGAUCGGCCACACUGGGACUGGGACACGGCCCAGACUCCUACGGGAGGCAGCAGUAGGGAAUCCUCCGCAAUGGACGAAAGUCUGACGGAGCAACGCCGAGUGAGUGAUGAAGGUUUUCGGAUCGUAAAACUCUGUUGUCAGGGAAGAACAAGUACCGGAGUAACCGCCGGUACCUUGACGGUACCUGACCAGAAAGCCACGGCUAACUACGUG
Molecule: ribosomal RNA, 498 nt
Filed under: uncultured bacterium
Lineage: Bacteria
Description: partial 16S ribosomal RNA
Rfam family: Bacterial small subunit ribosomal RNA
Source: RNAcentral